This 337-nucleotide unclassified non-coding RNA is filed under the name soil metagenome. RNAcentral's name for it is "partial contains 5.8S ribosomal RNA, internal transcribed spacer 2, and large subunit ribosomal RNA". The stretch from base 1 to 120 matches the Rfam family "5.8S ribosomal RNA", at positions 35 to 154 of the family's 154-position model. The record is from RNAcentral.
GAUGAAGAACGUAGCGAAAUGCGAUAAGUAGUGUGAAUUGCAGAAUUCAGUGAAUCAUCGAAUCUUUGAACGCACAUUGCGCCCCUUGGUAUUCCAUGGGGCAUGCCUGUUCGAGCGUCAUUUGUACCCUCAAGCUAAGCUUGGUGUUGGGUGUUUGUCCACUCCCUCGUGUUUGGACUCGCCUUAAAACAAUUGGCAGCCAGUGUUUUGGUAUUGAAGCGCAGCACAAUUUGCGAUUCUAGCCUAGAAUACUAGCAUCCAUCAAGUCAGUUUUAACGCUUGACCUCGGAUCAGGUAGGGAUACCCGCUGAACUUAAGCAUAUCAAUAAGCGGAGGA